UUUUAUUUUUGCAAAUACGUUCACUUUAUUUGUAUUUUUUACCACAAAAUAAUGAAAUAUGCAGCAUCCCUUAAUUUUUACAUUAAAAAUAGUUAUUACAAUCAAUGAUAUGAGCAUUAUAUGGAUACAAGUAUGAAGUUGCAGUGCAAAGGCUUACAAAAUCUUGAGCAAAAUCAAAUAUAUUACUUUAAAAUUCUUUACCCUAAAUUACAGAGGUGCAAAUGAUCCCUUUGGGCCUCAACCAAUAUCCACAUAAAAUUAGUUCAAACAUAUUUCAUUUAGAUCUAAUAAAACUAUUCAAAAUAAAAAAUCCACCUUGUAUAAACUCACCUUUCCAUGUUAAGACUCCUCCUUACCUGUCCACAAAUAAAAUAUAGGUGAUCAACUAAAUCCUCCGGUCUUUUUACUGACCCUUAUUCCAAUCACAGAGGAGGCUUUACCUCUUCUCUGUGUCUGGUCAGGUCUGGUCAGGUUUGGUCUGGUCAUUAUGCUGGUCAGGUCAGGUCUGGUCAGGUAUGGUCAUUAUGCUGGUCAGGUCAGGUCAGGUCUGGUCAGGUCAGGUCAGGUCUGGUCAGGUCUGGUCAGGUCAGGUCAGGUCAGGUCUGGUCAGGUCUGGUCAGGUCAGGUCUGGUCAGGUCAGGUCAGGUCUGGUCAGGUCUGGUCAGGUCAGGUCUGGUCAGGUCAGGUCUGGUCAGGUCAUGUCUAAAGUCUGGUCAGGUCUGGCCUGGUCUGGUCUGGUCAGGUCUGGUCAGGUCUGGUCAGGACAUUAUGCUGGUCAGGUCUGG
Long non-coding RNA from Oncorhynchus tshawytscha (Chinook salmon), 785 nucleotides. The record is from Ensembl. NCBI's taxonomy places the organism in Eukaryota, Metazoa, Chordata, Actinopteri, Salmoniformes, Salmonidae.